GGGCGUGUAGCUCAGUGGUAGAGCGCCCGCUUUGCAUUCUUGAAUCCAGGAACCUGCGGGAGGUCCAGGUUUCAAUCACCUGCCCGUCCA
This 90-nucleotide transfer RNA is filed under the name Colletotrichum orbiculare MAFF 240422. It matches the Rfam family "tRNA". From Rfam's summary of the family: Transfer RNA (tRNA) molecules are approximately 80 nucleotides in length. Lineage: Eukaryota; Fungi; Ascomycota; Sordariomycetes; Glomerellales; Glomerellaceae. The record is from Rfam by way of RNAcentral.